GACGAACGCUGGCGGCGUGCUUAACACAUGCAAGUCGAACGGAAAGGCCCUGCUUUUGUGGGGUGCUCGAGUGGCGAACGGGUGAGUAACACGUGAGUAACCUGCCCUUGACUUUGGGAUAACUUCAGGAAACUGGGGCUAAUACCGGAUAGGAGCUCCUGCUGCAUGGUGGGGGUUGGAAAGUUUCGGCGGUUGGGGAUGGACUCGCGGCUUAUCAGCUUGUUGGUGGGGUAGUGGCUUACCAAGGCUUUGACGGGUAGCCGGCCUGAGAGGGUGACCGGCCCAUUUGGGGCGGGGUAACGGCCCAGACCCCUAGGGGGGGCGGGGGGGGGGAUAUUUGCACAAGGGGGGGAGGCUGAAUGAGGAAACCCCGGGGGGGGGAGGCGGGCCUUGGGGUUUAAACCCGUUUUGCCUGGGACGGAGGGGGGGGGGGGGGAAGGGGGAAAGAAAGCCCCGCUAACUUCGGG
Molecule: ribosomal RNA, 467 nt
Filed under: uncultured bacterium
Lineage: Bacteria
Description: partial 16S ribosomal RNA
Rfam family: Bacterial small subunit ribosomal RNA
Source: RNAcentral